CCGUGUGCUUACAAGUAGUCAGAGCCCGUUAAUGGGUGAUGGCGUGCCUUUUGUAGAAUGAACCGGCGAGUUACGAUUUGAUGCAAGGUUAAGCAGUAAAUGUGGAGCCGUAGCGAAAGCGAGUCUGAAUAGGGCGUUUAGUAUUUGGUCGUAGACCCGAAACCAGGUGAUCUACCCUUGGUCAGGUUGAAGUUCAGGUAACACUGAAUGGAGGACCGAACCGACUUACGUUGAAAAGUGAGCGGAUGAACUGAGGGUAGCGGAGAAAUUCCAAUCGAACCUGGAGAUAGCUGGUUCUCUCCGAAAUAGCUUUAGGGCUAGCCUCAAGUGAUGAUUAUUGGAGGUAGAGCACUGUUUGGACGAGGGGCCCCUCUCGGGUUACCGAAUUCAGACAAACUCCGAAUGCCAAUUAAUUUAACUUGGGAGUCAGAACAUGGGUGAUAAGGUCCGUGUUCGAAAGGGAAACAGCCCAGACCACCAGCUAAGGUCCCAAAAUAUAUGUUAAGUGGAAAAGGAUGUGGCGUUGCCCAGACAACUAGGAUGUUGGCUUAGAAGCAGCCAUCAUUUAAAGAGUGCGUAAUAGCUCACUAGUCGAGUGACACUGCGCCGAAAAUGUACCGGGGCUAAACAUAUUACCGAAGCUGUGGAUUGUCCUUUGGACAAUGGUAGGAGAGCGUUCUAAGGGCGUUGAAGCAUGAUCGUAAGGACAUGUGGAGCGCUUAGAAGUGAGAAUGCCGGUGUGAGUAGCGAAAGACGGGUGAGAAUCCCGUCCACCGAUUGACUAAGGUUUCCAGAGGAAGGCUCGUCCGCUCUGGGUUAGUCGGGUCCUAAGCUGAGGCCGACAGGCGUAGGCGAUGGAUAACAGGUUGAUAUUCCUGUACCACCUAUAAUCGUUUUAAUCGAUGGGGGGACGCAGUAGGAUAGGCGAAGCGUGCGAUUGGAUUGCACGUCUAAGCAGUAAGGCUGAGUAUUAGGCAAAUCCGGUACUCGUUAAGGCUGAGCUGUGAUGGGGAGAAGACAUUGUGUCUUCGAGUCGUUGAUUUCACACUGCCGAGAAAAGCCUCUAGAUAGAAAAUAGGUGCCCGUACCGCAAACCGACACAGGUAGUCAAGAUGAGAAUUCUAAGGUGAGCGAGCGAACUCUCGUUAAGGAACUCGGCAAAAUGACCCCGUAACUUCGGGAGAAGGGGUGCUCUUUAGGGUUAACGCCCAGAAGAGCCGCAGUGAAUAGGCCCAAGCGACUGUUUAUCAAAAACACAGGUCUCUGCUAAACCGUAAGGUGAUGUAUAGGGGCUGACGCCUGCCCGGUGCUGGAAGGUUAAGAGGAGUGGUUAGCUUCUGCGAAGCUACGAAUCGAAGCCCCAGUAAACGGCGGCCGUAACUAUAACGGUCCUAAGGUAGCGAAAUUCCUUGUCGGGUAAGUUCCGACCCGCACGAAAGGCGUAACGAUUUGGGCACUGUCUCAACGAGAGACUCGGUGAAAUCAUAGUACCUGUGAAGAUGCAGGUUACCCGCGACAGGACGGAAAGACCCCGUGGAGCUUUACUGUAGCCUGAUAUUGAAAUUCGGCACAGCUUGUACAGGAUAGGUAGGAGCCUUUGAAACGUGAGCGCUAGCUUACGUGGAGGCGCUGGUGGGAUACUACCCUAGCUGUGUUGGCUUUCUAACCCGCACCACUUAUCGUGGUGGGAGACAGUGUCAGGCGGGCAGUUUGACUGGGGCGGUCGCCUCCUAAAAGGUAACGGAGGCGCUCAAAGGUUCCCUCAGAAUGGUUGGAAAUCAUUCAUAGAGUGUAAAGGCAUAAGGGAGCUUGACUGCGAGACCUACAAGUCGAGCAGGGUCGAAAGACGGACUUAGUGAUCCGGUGGUUCCGCAUGGAAGGGCCAUCGCUCAACGGAUAAAAGCUACCCCGGGGAUAACAGGCUUAUCUCCCCCAAGAGUUCACAUCGACGGGGAGGUUUGGCACCUCGAUGUCGGCUCAUCGCAUCCUGGGGCUGUAGUCGGUCCCAAGGGUUGGGCUGUUCGCCCAUUAAAGCGGUACGCGAGCUGGGUUCAGAACGUCGUGAGACAGUUCGGUCCCUAUCCGUCGUGGGCGUAGGAAAUUUGAGAGGAGCUGUCCUUAGUACGAGAGGACCGGGAUGGACAUACCUCUGGUGUACCAGUUGUCGUGCCAACGGCAUAGCUGGGUAGCUAUGUGUGGACGGGAUAAGUGCUGAAAGCAUCUAAGCAUGAAGCCCCCCUCAAGAUGAGAUUUCCCAACUUCGGUUAUAAGAUCCCUCAAAGAUGAUGAGGUUAAUAGGUUCGAGGUGGAAGCAUGGUGACAUGUGGAGCUGACGAAUACUAAUCGAUCGAAGACUUAAUCAA
Molecule: ribosomal RNA, 2363 nt
Filed under: Staphylococcus aureus
Lineage: Bacteria; Bacillati; Bacillota; Bacilli; Caryophanales; Staphylococcaceae
Also listed under: 1 other name
Description: partial 23S ribosomal RNA
Rfam family: Bacterial large subunit ribosomal RNA
Source: RNAcentral